CCCCAAAACCUAACUCCAAAAACCAAAAGAAAUGAAAACAAAUUCAAAACAAAUCUCACACAAAUCCCAACAAAAAGGAUAGGAAAAGUUUGAAGAAAAACCCUUUGCUCACAUAAAAAAAUCCUAACAUACUUCCUCUUCUUCGCAUCACAGAAACAACACUGGAGGCCUUUAUUUUUUUUCCUUCUCAUUUUUUCUCAUUGGAUAUUGUACCUGUACCAGCCAUCCCUCCCAUUCCACUUCUAAUACGAAAUCUUAUCAAGAUUUCUGAUCAAUUGAUCAAGAAAAUGCCACCACCUAUAUCUGCCUCCCUAAGAAUUGAUCUCAACCAUUGUAUCUAGUUCUUAGUCUAUAUAAAUAGUUACUAAACAAGGAGUUUAGGUUUUUUCAGAAGCAAAGGGUGAUGAAAGGAGCAGUAACAGAAACAAAUAAGAGAGGAAAAGAUCAGAAAGAAAAGAAAGAAGAAGAAAAAUUUCAGAAAAGAAAAGGCGUUAGGACUAAUGAACCAGCCCCAUUCGUCCCCAGCUUUCUCUUUUGUUUUAGACCUUUUGGGUUAGAUUAUUUUUCCUGUGUUUUCUAGAUUCAUAAUAGAAUGAUUUCCCUGUUGAGAGUAUCUGGAGAAAGCGGCUUUAAAGGCUUGAAAUUGGAGUUUUGAAAUCAUCUUAGGCGCAACUCUUGUUGCCAAAGAAGCUGUCUAUUUGGGUCUAUUUUGUGUUCAAAAUCUAUACACUACCAGAGUUUAUGCUCAAUCUGACUUCCCAAGCACCAAUGGUAACUCUUGUUUAUUCUUUUCCAUCUAUUCAAAUUUGGGUAAAAGGUUAAAUCCAUCAUAAAGGAGUUCUAAGCUUUUAUCUUUUGAUUAGACAUGGUGAUUCAUGCUUUGCUUUUAUUUGUGCCCGUUUCAUGAUCAUUAUAGCCUCAUAGAGACCCUUUUAACCGUCUAUUGAUGUUUGAUUAAAUAAGAAAAUGUCAAAAUUAAAAGUUAGCUCCUUGAACUUUGAAUUGGGUAUGUUAUUAUUGGCAACUUUUGGCAAAUGAGAUUAUACUUGAUAGUUGGUCAAAGGUUGUUCUAUAUGUUUGAUGAAUCUAUAGCAUAUUUUAAAAUAGAUUUUAGUGCAUAUUUCAUGACAUUUUGUGUGUUUUGGGUUUUGGAUGCUUUGAAAGAAAUCUAUCUAUUUGUCCCCUGUUCAUGAACCUUGAGUUGAUAUAGAUAGUGAGGUUGUCUUUCUUGUCAUGUGGAGGUUAUUUCUCUAGUUUUUGUUCCCAAAAUAAGCUACCAGAGCUUGAUCCCGACGAAGUUCCGACCAUUCUUGUCGGAAUAUUUCUAGAGGCCAACGAAACUUGCUAAUGCUUACCUUGUCUUUUGUUUCCUUUUCUUUUUUUACUUGGAUUAAUUUGAUUCUUUGGGUUUGUUUAGAUUUAAGUCAAGCUUGUUUGAGUUUUAAGGAGUUGGAUUAAUUUGAUUAUUAUUUUUUUUUUGUCAUCGUCACUUUAUCUAUAUUAUUGGGAAAUUGAUAGGGACUGAACCACCAUCGGACCAGCGCACCUGUCUGGAUUUUUUUACGGAAAUCACAUAUUGUGACAAUUGGUGGGAAGCAAGAUUUGAACUCUUUACCUCCCAUCCCCACCAAGUCCUUGGUGAUGGCCAACAAUUCAAAAGCUAUUGGUUAGGUUUAUUUAGUUUUAGAUUUGGUCUAUUUGGGUUAAAAACAAAAUUGAAUUGUUUGAGUUUUUUUUUUAAGUGGGUCAUUACUAUUUUUUCUAGGUAAUCUGUCAUUACUUCAUCGGGCCUAAAGUGGGACAAUCCAGACAAUUACCGUGAUGGUUUAAACCAUAAGAAAAUGAACUUUUAUUUUGGCCCCAUGAGUUUCUUAAUAACUCUGUUGUGAUCCAAAAAUUUUAACUUUCUUUCAUUUAGGUACUUAUUUUAAUUAUAAUUUGACCCCAAAAUUUUAUUUUUAUUUUAUUUUAGACCCUAAUCUUUUGAAAAAUAUAUUUUGACUCUGAUAGCUUCUUAAUCUCUCAAUUAGGAUGGUUUUUUUUUUCUUUAAUUGCUAAUUGUGCUUCUCUUAAAUGCAUUUAACUUGCCAUUUUGAAUGUUUUAAGUUUCUUUGUGUUUAGCUAAAUAAUGUGAAUUUACUACAUUUUAACUCUCUUUAUUAAAGUAUUUUUAAUUAAAUUGGUGUCUUGACCCUUUGUUGAUUCUUGAACAUAGAUAGGUCAAUAUUCCCUCAUCUUAGUCAUUUCUUCAGAGGGAGUUAACCCUACAACCCUUUAAAUUCUUGAAAAUAUGUGAUCUUAUAUAUUUUAUAUAUUUUAUGUAUUUUUAUUUAUUUCUUUAAUAUUUUAGGCAUUUUUAUGGUUUAUUUAUGUAAUUUAAGUUUUAUAAUAAUUUGGAGGGUAUUCGAAUACUCAAGAUCUAAU
RNAcentral lists this long non-coding RNA (2424 nucleotides) under Coffea arabica (coffee). RNAcentral describes it as "long non-coding RNA (CARA_LNC005652)". The record is from RNAcentral. Lineage: Eukaryota; Viridiplantae; Streptophyta; Magnoliopsida; Gentianales; Rubiaceae.